AGUGAACGCUGGCGGUAGGCCUAACACAUGCAAGUCGAACGGCAGCACAGUAAGAGCUUGCUCUUACGGGUGGCGAGUGGCGGGCGGGUGAGGAAUACAUCGGAAUCUACUUUUUCGUGGGGGAUAACGUAGGGAAACUUACGCUAAUACCGCAUACGACCUACGGGUGAAAGCAGGGGAUCUUCGGACCUUGCGCGAUUGAAUGAGCCGAUGUCGGAUUAGCUAGUUGGCGGGGUAAAGGCCCACCAAGGCGACGAUCCGUAGCUGGUCUGAGAGGAUGAUCAGCCACACUGGAACUGAGACACGGUCCAGACUCCUACGGGAGGCAGCAGUGGGGAAUAUUGGACAAUGGGCGCAAGCCUGAUCCAGCCAUACCGCGUGGGUGAAGAAGGCCUUCGGGUUGUAAAGCCCUUUUGUUGGGAAAGAAAAGCAGCAGGUUAAUACCCCGCUGUUCUGGCGGUACCCAAAGAAUAAGCACCGGCUAACUUCGUG
Molecule: ribosomal RNA, 492 nt
Filed under: uncultured bacterium
Lineage: Bacteria
Description: partial 16S ribosomal RNA
Rfam family: Bacterial small subunit ribosomal RNA
Source: RNAcentral